CCUACGGGUGGCAGCAGUGGGGAAUAUUGGACAAUGGGCGAAAGCCUGAUCCAGCCAUGCCGCGUGUGUGAAGAAGGCCUUCGGGUUGUAAAGCACUUUCAGUGGGGAAGAAAGCCUUGGGGCUAAUACCCUCGAGGAAGGACAUCACCCACAGAAGAAGCACCGGCUAACUCCGUGCCAGCAGCCGCGGUAAUACGGAGGGUGCGAGCGUUAAUCGGAAUUACUGGGCGUAAAGCGCGCGUAGGCGGUCUGAUAAGCCGGUUGUGAAAGCCCCGGGCUCAACCUGGGAACGGCAUCCGGAACUGUCAGGCUAGAGUGCAGGAGAGGAAGGUAGAUUUCCCGGUGUAGCGGUGAAAUGCGUAGAGAUCGGGAGGAAUACCAGUGGCGAAGGCGGCCUUCUGGACUGACACUGACGCUGAGGUGCGAAAGCGUGGGUAGCAAACAGGAUUAGAUACCCCGGUAGUC
Molecule: ribosomal RNA, 465 nt
Filed under: Vreelandella stevensii
Lineage: Bacteria; Pseudomonadati; Pseudomonadota; Gammaproteobacteria; Oceanospirillales; Halomonadaceae
Description: partial 16S ribosomal RNA
Rfam family: Bacterial small subunit ribosomal RNA
Source: RNAcentral